Molecule: long non-coding RNA, 1230 nt
Filed under: Salvia miltiorrhiza (redroot sage)
Lineage: Eukaryota; Viridiplantae; Streptophyta; Magnoliopsida; Lamiales; Lamiaceae
Description: long non-coding RNA (SMIL_LNC007389)
Source: RNAcentral
AAAACAACAUGAUAAUUAGCGACAUUAUGAUUUUUAAAAAAAAAUGAAAGCUCCUCCAACCAUAUUCUCAAAAGCUACUGAAUGUUCUAAGAAAUCAUGUAAUGAAAGUACCUACCGUGCGCCGUUGAUGAAUAGGUUAUCGUGGAAGAAGAGGUAAUGUAGGAUAUGAUGUCCCCUAACAAGAGAAAUAUAUUACUCUGUAUUAAAAAUAUAAUAUGAACAUGUAGAAAAAAGAAUCCGAACAGAUACCUCAAAAUUUUCCAUUAACUAAGUAUUAACACAACUAAAAAACUAAUUAAACAGAUUAUAUUAACCCAUGAACACAACAUACAAUUCUUUCGCACAGAUCACACUAAUACAAAUACUCGAACAAUUAAUUAAUAAAUUACAAACAUAUAAGAAAAUAUGUCAAAUAUAGUUACUUAUUUUACCUUCUUCAUUCGCAGGAGCAGACAUGUCCACUCUUGGGCGUUUAUUUUUUUAUUUUUCUGAGGAUCCCUCAUUUGAAUUGAGAAUAUUACAUUCAGUUUCCAUUCAAUAAGUCUUCUAAGAAAAAAACUCAAACACAUCAAAUCUAAUAAAAUCAUAGUAUUUUAUGCCCAAGGUGGACCAAAUCUGUCAAGAAUAGUUCAAAAUUUAGCAUAAAAAAGUUCCAUCAUCCAGUCAAUACAAAUGCAUAUAUUAAACAAUAUAACCACAAUCAUAAACCCUAUUUGAAAAAUGAGAUAGAAAAUCCAAAAAAAAAUUCUAAACACAAUACCUUGAUUAUUUAGAUCCACCAAGCGUGAUUCAAAUCGGCGAACACAGUAUGCAAAAACAAGCGAAACAGAAAAUCAUAUUAAAAAAGCUGAAAUCCCAAUAUCUGAAAUCUCAUUUUUCCCAAUAAUUUCUUCAUCGUCAACAACAAUCAGUUGUUCGAAACACAAAAUCAAAGUAUUCAAAGCAAAAAUCUAAAUACCUUUUGUUCAAUUGGUUGUUCAAUUACAUGAAGAGGCCAAAAAAAUAGAAAAACAUCGACAUACCCGUUCGAUUUCAGCAGAUCUUCAAACCUUGCCCCUUUUCGAACAAGUCACCGGUGAUUCUUCAAAAACAGAAACAAAAUAACAAAAAAAAUUUAUUGAACAACCGGAGUUUGAAUCGAUUUGUUUGUUGAAAAAUCGAAACUUCAAACGAAACCCUACCUGUCGUCGAAAAGGCAGAAACCCUACCGAUCGUGGUUCUGUUCAGAAA